Molecule: ribosomal RNA, 427 nt
Filed under: uncultured bacterium
Lineage: Bacteria
Description: partial 16S ribosomal RNA
Rfam family: Bacterial small subunit ribosomal RNA
Source: RNAcentral
UGGGGAAUAUUGCACAAUGGGCGCAAGCCUGAUGCAGCCAUGCCGCGUGUGUGAAGAAGGCCUUCGGGUUGUAAAGCACUUUCAGCGAGGAGGAAGGUGUUGAGGCUAAUAACCUCAGCAAUUGACGUUACCCGCAGAAGAAGCACCGGCUAACUCCGUGCCAGCAGCCGCGGUAAUACGGAGGGUGCAAGCGUUAAUCGGAAUUACUGGGCGUAAAGCGCACGCAGGCGGUCUGUCAAGUCGGAUGUGAAAUCCCCGGGCUCAACCUGGGAACUGCAUUCGAAACUGGCAGGCUAGAGUCUUGUAGAGGGGGGUAGAAUUCCAGGUGUAGCGGUGAAAUGCGUAGAGAUCUGGAGGAAUACCGGUGGCGAAGGCGGCCCCCUGGACAAAGACUGACGCUCAGGUGCGAAAGCGUGGGGAGCAAACA